RNAcentral lists this unclassified non-coding RNA (87 nucleotides) under Pseudomonas azotoformans. The record is from RNAcentral. Lineage: Bacteria; Pseudomonadati; Pseudomonadota; Gammaproteobacteria; Pseudomonadales; Pseudomonadaceae.
GUGGGAGGGGGCUUGCCCCCGAUGACAGUGUGUCAGUUACGUAUAAAUCGACUGAUCCACCGCUAUCGGGGGCAAGCCCCCUCCCAC